AACGAACGCUGGCGGCAGGCCUAACACAUGCAAGUUGAACGCCGUAGCAAUACGGAGUGGCAGACGGGUGAGUAACACGUGGGAACGUACCCUUCGGUUCGGAAUAACUCAGGGAAACUUGAGCUAAUACCGGAUACGUCCGAGAGGAGAAAGAUUUAUCGCCGAGGGAUCGGCCCGCGUCUGAUUAGCUUGUUGGUGAGGUAACGGCUCACCAAGGCGACGAUCAGUAGCUGGUCNGAGAGGAUGAUCAGCCACAUUGGGACUGAGACACGGCCCAAACUCCUACGGGAGGCAGCAGUGGGGAAUAUUGGACAAUGGGCGCAAGCCUGAUCCAGCCAUGCCGCGUGAGUGAUGAAGGCCCUAGGGUUGUAAAGCUCUUUUACCCGGGAAGAUAAUGACUGUACCGGGAGAAUAAGCCCCGGCUAACUUCGUGCCAGCA
This 439-nucleotide ribosomal RNA is filed under the name uncultured bacterium. RNAcentral's name for it is "bacterial SSU rRNA". It matches the Rfam family "Bacterial small subunit ribosomal RNA", at positions 29 to 513 of the family's 1533-position model. The record is from RNAcentral.